GACGGAGGGUGCAAGCGUUGCUCGGAAUCAUUGGGCGUAAAGGGUGCGUAGGCGGCUUGGUCAGUCUGGCGUGAAAGCCCAGGGCUCAGCCUUGGAAGGGCGCUCGAAACUGCCAAGCUAGAGUGCCGGAGGGGAGAGUGGAAUUCCUGGUGUAGCGGUGAAAUGCGUAGAGAUCAGGAGGAAUACCGGUGGCGAAAGCGACUCUCUGGACGGCAACUGACGCUGAGGCACGAAAGCGUGGGGAGCAAACAGG
Molecule: ribosomal RNA, 253 nt
Filed under: uncultured bacterium
Lineage: Bacteria
Description: partial 16S ribosomal RNA
Rfam family: Bacterial small subunit ribosomal RNA
Source: RNAcentral